AUGAACGCUGGCGGCGUGCCUAAUCCAUGCAAGUCGAGCGAACAGACGAGGAGCUUGCUCCUCUGACGUUAGCGGCGGACGGUUGAGUAACACGUGGCUAACCUACCUAUAAGACUGGGAUAACUUCGGGAAACCGGAUCUAAUACCGGAUAAUAUAUUGCACCGCAUGGUUCAAUAGUGAAAGACGGUUUUGCUGUCACUUAUAGAUGGAUCCGCUCCGCAUUAGCUAGUUGGUAAGGUAACGGCUUACCAAGGCGACGAUGCGUAGCCGACCUGAGAGGGUGAUGGGCCACACUGGAACUGAGACGCGGUACAGACACCUACGGGAGGCAGAAGUAGGGAAUCUUCCGAGAUGGGCGAAAGACUGACGGAGCAACGCCGCGUGAGUGAUGAAGGUCUUCGGAUCGUAAGACUCUGUUAUUAGGGAAGAACAAAUGUGUAAGUAACUAUGCACGUCUUGACGGUACCUAAUCAGAAAGCCACGGCUAACUACGUG
This 496-nucleotide ribosomal RNA is filed under the name uncultured bacterium. Its description in RNAcentral is "partial 16S ribosomal RNA". It matches the Rfam family "Bacterial small subunit ribosomal RNA", at positions 29 to 507 of the family's 1533-position model. The record is from RNAcentral.